RNAcentral lists this ribosomal RNA (590 nucleotides) under uncultured bacterium. Its description in RNAcentral is "bacterial SSU rRNA". It matches the Rfam family "Bacterial small subunit ribosomal RNA", at positions 338 to 948 of the family's 1533-position model. The record is from RNAcentral.
CCUACGGGAGGCAGCAGUGGGGAAUAUUGGACAAUGGGCGCAAGCCUGAUCCAGCAAUGCCGCGUGAGUGAUGAAGGCCUUAGGGUCGUAAAGCUCUUUUACCAGGGAUGAUAAUGACAGUACCUGGAGAAUAAGCUCCGGCUAACUCCGUGCCAGCAGCCGCGGUAAUACGGAGGGAGCUAGCGUUGUUCGGAAUUACUGGGCGUAAAGCGUACGUAGGCGGUUAUUCAAGUCAGAGGUGAAAGCCCGGGGCUCAACCCCGGAACGGCCUUUGAAACUAGGUAGCUAGAAUCUUGGAGAGGUCAGUGGAAUUCCGAGUGUAGAGGUGAAAUUCGUAGAUAUUCGGAAGAACACCAGUGGCGAAGGCGACUGACUGGACAAGUAUUGACGCUGAGGUACGAAAGCGUGGGGAGCAAACAGGAUUAGAUACCCUGGUAGUCCACGCCGUAAACGAUGAUAACUAGCUGUCCGGGCACUUGGUGCCUGGGUGGCGCAGCUAACGCAUUAAGUUAUCCGCCUGGGGAUACGGUCGCAAGNUUAAAACUCAAAAUGAAAUUGACGGCUGAGACNGCGAGACGACACGAGGAGAG